RNAcentral lists this ribosomal RNA (406 nucleotides) under uncultured bacterium. RNAcentral describes it as "partial 16S ribosomal RNA". It matches the Rfam family "Bacterial small subunit ribosomal RNA", at positions 29 to 526 of the family's 1533-position model. The record is from RNAcentral.
AUUGAACGCUGGCGGCAGGCCUAACACAUGCAAGUCGAACGAGUGGCGGACGGGUGAGUAAUGUCUGGGAAACUGCCUGAUGGAGGGGGAUAACUACUGGAAACGGUAGCUAAUACCGCAUACCAUCAGAUGUGCCCAGAUGGGAUUAGCUAGUAGGUGGGGUAAUGGCUCACCUAGGCGACGAUCCCUAGCUGGUCUGAGAGGAUGACCCACCACAAUGGGACGGAGGAACGGUCCAGAAACCGACGGGAGGCAGCAGUGGGGAAUAUUGCACAAAGGGGGAAAGCCCGAUGGCGCCAUGCCGGGUGUGGUAAGAAGGCCUUCGGGUUGUAAAGCACUUUCAGCGAGGAGGCGUUACUCGCAGAAGAAGAACCGGCUAACUCCGUGCCAGCAGCCGCGGUAAUAC